CAUCCCACGCCUAUAUCCCUAUUACUUUGAAACACGCGCAUUUUCCCUUUACAUUGGCUUUUCUCUCUCAUUUCAUUAACCUAAUUUCUAUUUGUUUCCGCCGCCCCGCCCCCCACACACCAGACCACCAUCGCCGCCCUCACGGCUCACACGCUGCCAGCUCCAGCCAGCCUUCUCUGCCGCCGCCGCCCACACCCUACUGACGUCGUUGGAGCCUCUGGUAGUUGUCCAAUUUUAUUAUUUGUGAAAAUUAACUUAUGGAAUCCUAUAUUCGUACAAAUUUGAAUUUUAUCUCUUCUAGAUUGAGAUUGAUUCAUUUAUGUUAGCCUCUAUUUACCUAUCUGCAACAAAUUUACCGUACCUUAAUCGCCCUUCUCCAUUCACUGCACGUCAUAUUUUUUUUUAUAACUUCAUAUUUUUUUUCAAAAAUAUUUAAUUUUAGCAUUUCUUUGUAGAAAAUUUAAUUUAACUCCUCCAACUUCUGCGUCUGUUACUCAUUACCACGCUGAUAUUGAGACUAAAAUUCAUAGCUUUUAAGUAUUUUACUUGUUGAUAAAUUACUUAAAUUUAUUUGCAUUUGGGAACCUAAAUUGAAAAUUGCUUUUAAAAUACUACUUCUGACAAUUUUAGAAUUUGGGUGUUAGAUCUACUUGUAACACUAAUUUAUAUUUGAUAUUCUUGCAGGAAUAUGGAUAGAUCAAAUUUAGUAGAGCAUACACCUCAAGAUUGAUGGAAGAUUGAAUGUUUGAUAAUUGUUGUAGUGAAGUGUUAUUUUGAUUAGUUUGAAACUUCUCUUUAUUUAUAAAUUUGAUGGAUUGCAAAGUUUUGAAUGUUAUGGUUUGUAUUGAGAAUUUAAAUAGUUGGAAUCAUCAAUUCUGUGUUUUUAUUAGAUAAAUGUAUUGAAUAUAUCCU
This 912-nucleotide long non-coding RNA is filed under the name Salvia miltiorrhiza (redroot sage). RNAcentral's name for it is "long non-coding RNA (SMIL_LNC006307)". The record is from RNAcentral. Lineage: Eukaryota; Viridiplantae; Streptophyta; Magnoliopsida; Lamiales; Lamiaceae.